Molecule: ribosomal RNA, 544 nt
Filed under: uncultured bacterium
Lineage: Bacteria
Description: bacterial SSU rRNA
Rfam family: Bacterial small subunit ribosomal RNA
Source: RNAcentral
GCAAGUCGAACGGGCUAGUGCUUCGCACUAGUCUCUUUCUGGGGUUGUUACUCUAAGGCUACCUGCUAAAGUUAUUGCUUUAAAGCAGGGGUUUUAGGAGACUUUCCCCGAAAGGGGCCAGUGCGGAGCACUGGCCAGUGGCGAACGGGUGAGUAACACGUGGGUAAUCUACCCUCGAGUGGGGAAUAAGCUUCCGAAAGGGGGUCUAAUGCCGCAUAACGUUUCAUAACGAUGGUUAUGAAACCAAAGCCCAAAAGGCGCUCGAGGAGGAGCCUGCGUCCUAUCAGCUUGUUGGCAGGGUAAUGGCCUACCAAGGCUAUGACGGGUAGCCGGCCUGAGAGGGUGUCCGGCCACACUGGAACUGAGACACGGUCCAGACUCCUACGGGAGGCAGCAGUGGGGAAUUUUGCGCAAUGGGGGAAACCCUGACGCAGCGACGCCGCGUGGAGGAUGACGGCCUUCGGGUUGUAAACUCCUGUCAGAAGGGACGAAAUCCCGCAAGGGACUGACGGUACCUUCAGAGGAAGCCCCGGCUAACUACGUG